GACGAACGCUGGCGGCGUGCUUAACACAUGCAAGUCGAACGGAAAGGCCCUGCUUUUGUGGGGUGCUCGAGUGGCGAACGGGUGAGUAACACGUGAGUAACCUGCCCUUGACUUUGGGAUAACUUCAGGAAACUGGGGCUAAUACCGGAUAGGAGCUCCUGCUGCAUGGUGGGGGUUGGAAAGUUUCGGCGGUUGGGGAUGGACUCGCGGCUUAUCAGCUUGUUGGUGGGGUAGUGGCUUACCAAGGCUUUGACGGGUAGCCGGCCUGAGAGGGUGACCGGCCACAUUGGGACUGAGAUGCGGCCCAGACUCCUACGGGAGGCAGCAGUGGGGAAUAUUGCACAAUGGGCGGAAGCCUGAUGCAGCAACGCCGCGUGCGGGAUGACGACCUUCGGGUUGUAAACCGCUUUCGCCUGUGACGAAGCGUGAGUGACGGUAAUGGGUAAAGAAGCACCGGCUAACUACGUG
This 468-nucleotide ribosomal RNA is filed under the name uncultured bacterium. RNAcentral describes it as "partial 16S ribosomal RNA". It matches the Rfam family "Bacterial small subunit ribosomal RNA", at positions 28 to 507 of the family's 1533-position model. The record is from RNAcentral.